This 466-nucleotide ribosomal RNA is filed under the name uncultured bacterium. RNAcentral's name for it is "partial 16S ribosomal RNA". It matches the Rfam family "Bacterial small subunit ribosomal RNA", at positions 27 to 507 of the family's 1533-position model. The record is from RNAcentral.
GGACGAACGCUGGCGGCGUGCUUAACACAUGCAAGUCGAACGGAAAGGCCCCUUUGGGGGUACUCGAGUGGCGAACGGGUGAGUAACACGUGAGUAACCUGCCCUUGACUUCGGGAUAACUUCAGGAAACUGGGGCUAAUACCGGAUAGGAAUCCUUGCUGCAUGGUGGGGGUUGGAAAGCUUCGGCGGUUUUGGAUGGACUCACGGCUUAUCAGCUUGUUGGUGGGGUAGUGGCUUACCAAGGCUUUGACGGGUAGCCGGCCUGAGAGGGCGACCGGCCACAUUGGGACUGAGAUACGGCCCAGACUCCUACGGGAGGCAGCAGUGGGGAAUAUUGCACAAUGGGCGGAAGCCUGAUGCAGCAACGCCGCGGGCGGGAUGACGGCCUUCGGGUUGUAAACCGCUUUCAGCAGGGGCGAAGCUUGUGGUGACGGUACCUGCAGAAGAAGCACCGGCUAACUACGUG